Sinocyclocheilus grahami is the source of this 322-nucleotide long non-coding RNA. RefSeq lists it as uncharacterized. The record is from RefSeq and is a predicted model, not a curated record. NCBI's taxonomy places the organism in Eukaryota, Metazoa, Chordata, Actinopteri, Cypriniformes, Cyprinidae. The transcript has 3 exons.
UCUGUGGGAGCUCAAAGAGACUCGCUCUGAUCUUCAGCAGGCCUUGCAAAAAGCAGAAUGUCUCUCGGCAUCUGUGGAUGAAUGGAAGAGGUCUAGACAAAAACAUUGCCGGAGCCAGAGUGAAGAGAGAGAUGACAAUUUAGUUGUUCUGCAUCCCUCUAGCGUUGUGAAUGCGGCCCUGUCCACAUUCUCUGCGUCUCCUGACUCCAGACAUUAUGAGACACAAAGCACCUCAGAAGCCCUGAAGAAACGUCAGGGGUGCACAUCAGGGUCUCGUUCACGGACGUCUUCUGUCACGGUCUACAGUGUGCUGGUGGAUGAU